Long non-coding RNA from Rosa chinensis, 373 nucleotides. RefSeq lists it as uncharacterized. The record is from RefSeq and is a predicted model, not a curated record. Lineage: Eukaryota; Viridiplantae; Streptophyta; Magnoliopsida; Rosales; Rosaceae. The transcript is spliced from 4 exons.
CAAACCUCAAACUGCCAGCAACAUGAACUCCACCUUCGAUCGACAACUACUUCAUCUCCUCAAACCUCAAACUACUACAUCAUCAUCUCUCUAAUCUCUUCUUUUCACUUCUCUACCCCAGCAGCCCAGUCUCAAAAUCAUCCUAAAUUACCAGCACCAAACUCCUUCAUCUUGGGUUUUCAAUCGAUCAGGUUUUGUUGAGCUCACUUCAAUCCAAAGUUGCUUUAGUAUUACCCAAAAGGUGUCGAGGUUUUGUUGAUCUCCAGACUUCAACCCAGAAAUUGCUCUAGUAUCAUUAAAAAGGUGUCCAGGUUGUGUUCAUCGCCACACUUCAACCAGAAUUGCUUAAGUAGUACUGAAAAAGUGUCCAGGU